GAACAGUCCAGAUUUUCCUGCACAAUUAAGCUGCAGACCCUCCACUUUAAAAUCGUCCCCUGACCUUGAUAUUAAGCUAAAACCUACGAAGUUGGUACACAAAUCGAAGGGAAUUUUGUUAGCUUUCCAUAGCAACAAACGGAUCUUAAAUCAGAGUUACAGAGAAGGAGCAGUUACCGGUUUAGGGAAGACAUGUCCAAAACACGAAUUACCCUAGACUUAAUCCAAAAUUCCAACUUGAUUCCAUUCUAAAUUCUAAUUACAACUCACAUCUUUCUUCAAGCCUCAGCCCCUUCUAAAUCAUUCAAGCUUCUAUCUUCCAACUUCAAGCUUUUCUAACCAACACUCAUUUAUUGACAUAAAUUAAAUGCAUGUACCAAACAUAGCAAAUCAGAAUUUGGGGUUAAGGAUUAUGAUUUUGGUCAUAGCAAGAAAAAGGAAGAAUAGAGUAGCUUACUAUUUCUCACCUUGAGUUUCCACCAUCCAUACCCUAUUGAUUGUGAAAAUCAACACAUGCAGCUAAGAAUUAAAAGUGGAAAUGGAAGCUCGGAGUGAGAGAGAUUCUGGCGUGAGAACAAGAGAGAGUUUGAGGGAAGUUUGUUGCUUUUCCUACUUUGUGAAGUUUAAGAAGAUGAAUGGGUUGUUGUUGUUGUCUUGCGUGUGAGAGAAAGAAGAGAUUUGCUGAGUAGUUGUCCUAACCUUGUGAAAGAGGGAAGUGUAUGAGUGGGUUUGGAUCUUGACUUCUGGUUUAAUGAGCGUGAGAGAGAGAGGGAGAUACAAGAAAGGUCAUUUUCUUUACUAAAAAUAGAUCUAUGACAAAUGAAAGUGGAUUUGUCCUCAGAGUCUUAAAUAAUCACUACAAAUAAUCACCCUUCACCUUCCUUAUUAUUACUUGUUUGCCAUGUUGCCCCUUAAUUCACAAUUCCUUAUUUCUAUUAAAUAGAAAUAUUUUUAAUUGAUCUCUAAUAGUUGACUCUAGUUAAUAUUCUUCCAUUAAUUAAAGUUGGGAUAUUACAAUUUAUCCCCCUUAAAAGAAUUUCGUCCGCGAAAUUCAAGAACUUCUUCAUUCAUCACCAAGUAAAUUAUCUAUAUCCCCGUCCAGACUCUAAACUUCACCGCUUAGCAAAUUAUAAUUUUGUCGUCCAAGGUCACUAAUCAUCAGUCUCUACUGCGUUUAGUAGUUUCUUAUGUUACUUUUUGAAAUCCUACUUGUCCAUUUCAUGACAUUGAACACAUAAUCUCUGCGUAUAAUACAACUUCUAGAUUCGCGUCCAUCUUAUAUUAACUCUUUCUAUUAUCUUACUCGACUCAACACUCAUAACACAACAUUGCAUUUUUCUUUACUCUUCAUUUUAUCAUCGGAGCGUAUUUAAUCUUACUAGUUCACCGCGUAAAAUUUCUUAGUCGAACCAUUUUUCCUUCACAAUCUUUGCUCUCAAGGGAAUUGCAUUACUAACAAUCUUAGGUGCAAACAUGAAUAUAUAUAUGCGUAACUUACUCGUCAUACGUUCUUUAAUCAUCUUACGAUCAUCCACAUCUAAAACCUUUGGAAUAGAACUUUCCUCUCCCAAAGAGAUGUUGGCCUAAAACCAAACUACUGACUACAUUCUCAAUCAAUACUUGCUGCACACUCUGAUUUCAACUACGAACUGUCAUAUUCUGACUGCGACAUUACAACAUUGGUCUAUAAUUCUUGAACACUGUCACACGUCGUUUCAUCUUAUUCGGUGUCACUUCUUCUAUUAUUACUCCUCGUAUCAUAGACAUCACAAGGCAAUGUUUGCAUCACUUCGUGACGUCAGGCGUACCACUACAUUCAUAAUAUUGUACCACAAUCUUACAUGGGCGCAAUACGUCGACACUUACCAUUACACUUGAUUCUGAUAACUGAGUUGUUCCAACAACGAUCUUUACUUCGAUCAGUGAUAUUCUUCAAGAGUUAGUUUCUGUUUGAAAUUAUUACUUCACCGACCCCAGCUACAAUCCAUCUUCUUUUAGUAUUGCUUCCUUUUUUUUUGAAGAAGCUAAAUUAGCCCACUCAAAUUGGCACCAGAGAGAAUCGAACCUCAGACUUCAAGAGGAGCACACUCCCAGGUCCCAAGCCAAUACCAAUGCACCAACCCAAGUGGGUUUAAUAUUGCUUCCUUUAUUGCUCCCGACAAUUACUUUAUUACUCAUCAACUUCAUUAAGUCGGUAUCUGGCCUGGUUGGGGCAUACACUAAAACAUGUGACACUAUCUGCUAUUACGAGGUUAUCUUAAGGGUACGAGCUUAAUAUUCAUACCAAUUAAUCCAAAAAUUUCUUGUCCCAUAGCUUAUGAUUCUGCUAAUCCUAUUAGCAUCUCUUAAUACUAUACCUUCUGAUACUAGUCCUUAACUCCAUUAAGGUAAGGUUUGGGUUUGACAGAAUUGUCUGAUAGUCUUACAAUAGAGAAUUGGUUGAAACAAACUGAUUGCUAAAGGAAAGUCAAACACAAUUGUCUUGGUUUAUUGAUGGUGAUACUACUACUAAUUAAGUUGCCUAACUUUGGGCUGCUUGAUGAUGCUAAUUAAUCGGUCAUAAAGAUAUCUGAUGGUUUUCCAAAGAAUUAUUCAUGUUUAUUGGCUAACAUUUCCAGACUUACAUUGGUCUAACUUGGUUACAGUUACAUAAGGAUAACACUCUAAAUUUGAACAUGAUUCGCUCAUAUUGAGGAACUAGAAAGGUUCGCAACUUAAUUGAGUUCUUACACUAAAUGUAAGUGACGGGUCUCAAGGCACAGAGAGGAUUUACCUCUCUACUAAAAUUAGAUAGGUUCGUGGAACUUAAUGUUCAUAACAAAAUGAGGCUUACAGAUUAUGAAUCAUGCAUCGCAUCGAUUCGAUGAAUUUAGCUGAAUUAGCGUUCACGCAAAAGGUAGGUAACUAAUGAUCCUGAUUCGGCCAGAUUAUGUUCACACUUCAUGAUUUCCUUCCAAUGACAAAUCUCUUGAAUUGGAACAGACCUGAUUCUCAUUAGCAUUUAGCUGAUCAACUCUCACAAAAGAUUUGACUGAAUAUGUUGGGUUUUUUUUUUUUUAGCUAAGAGGUUUGAAUACGGAAAAAUAUUUGGCGACUUGUUGAAGUUAGUACUAAAAUGCAUUACUUGUUCCCGAAGCAAAUGAUAAUGACAUUUAAUAUGCCGCCUUAGGUGACUGAUAGCAUUAGAAUUAAAUUCCAAUCAUUAUUCUAUACGAGACUUGGCUACUACUAAUCUGCCUUGAUUACUAGUUAAGAACUGCGAGGCUGAACUUAUCUUAUUGGGGCAUCUAGUGUUCUUGUUCUACUAGAAUGGUGCAACAUGCUGACAUUAGGAAUUAAGGGAAUGCAUGAAGUCUAGUUUGUCUUUCUCCGAUAGUGUAUUUAAUUGACCUACGCAACUUGGGAAAGCUACUGGGCUGAAAUGAAGGUUAAACAAAUUCGAAAAAGUUUUGGGUUCACUGACUCAUGUUAAGUCUUAUUUGAAUUAAGGUGCUUCUUGUAAUUAGGUACACAUCAUACAUUUUUGCUGGUUGGAUAAUACUGGUGUACCACACUUCAAUAUAUUGCGCGCGCCGUUCUCAUAAUUCCAUCAUCUAUAUUAAUGCGCCCAUCAAACCUACUAUAAUUUUCCAGUCCCGGAAUUCUCCACAUUCUUAUACAUGCUACCGUCAGUUGAGCACAUUCGGUUCGUGCAUCUCCUGACAUGCCCCUUACUACUGGUAUUACGCUACAUACUAUUCCAAAUUUUGCUGCAACUCCAACAUCCGUUUCUAGAGAUCUUCGCUCUUACUUCCUUAUGAGUUAGCGCUUCUACCAUGUUCUUGCUACGAGACCUCCUUGGUCCGCUUCGGUUCUCAACUGUAAUACCCUGCCUACCAUACACGAUACCGAGUUGAUCGGGCUCAGCACAUAAUGAUUUCAGCGUAAACAGUUCAGACUCCAAAGGGUCCAUACUACUUUGAAUUGAAUUUUAAUGAUCCGCGACAAGGUCCGAUACUGAAUCGACCUGCUCUGAUACCAAUUAUAACAUCUCAUGUCAAUUUAUCUAGAAUAUCAACAAGAGUGUACAUAACUGAAUCGGGAACAUUAAUUUUUCACUACAUAAAGAUCAAAUACAUCAAUAGGAUUACUAUAAUCCACUAAAUGAAUACAUGAUUGAGCUAACUACUAAACUGAAAUUAACUGAAUCUUAUAUAAUAAUAAGAUUAACAUGAUGUCAGCUCCAUAACGUAAUCCACGCAUCUGAAUCUUUGUGCUAGCAAACCAGGAUAUCUCGAUCAACCNNNNNNNNNNNNNNNNNNNNNNNNNNNNNNNNNNNNNNNNNNNNNNNNNNNNNNNNNNNNNNNNNNNNNNNNNNNNNNCUAUUGGUAUUUACACCGGGGGCAACUAACGAACUAAUUGUUGAAGCAAAAUCCUUUUUGAUAUGUGUUUUAAUGACAACAAACCUUAUGAAAUAAAUGUUAAGUUUUAUGAAUGGUGAUCUACUGAUGGUUGCACUUGAGUUUUUGUUCAAAGACAAAUAAUGACAAAAGUGGACGAGCUAGAGACCGCUGACAUCAACAAGUGCAUUUUAUAUACUCAAACAAUGAAAGAAUUGAAGUAUCAUCAGAUAAUUACAACAGUAGUAUCACAAGUUUCAUGAAGAUUUUUAAAGACUGUUGUUUGAAUCAUACGAGGAUUCAUUGAACGUUCAAGCAAGAAAGUGAACUUCAUGGUUAAUAGUCUUCAUCUUCACCACAAGGUUUACAAUGGAAAUUAAAUAUUCAAGGAAGAUUAAGAGGAUCGUAGUUGAAGAAUCAAGAUGGAAAAACCUGCAUCACAAGCUACAAAAGAAUAUAUUUGAUGUUGUGUGACANNNNNNNNNNNNNNNNNNNNNNNNNNNNNNNNNNNNNNNNNNNNNNNNNNNNNNNNNNAGAAUGAUCUUCCACGAGGUUUUCAAAAGAGCUUAUGCACAAUGCAUAAAAGAUUAAUCAUUCUCAAUGAUGAGUACACUCACGCCUCCACUAAAUAAUCUUAAAGAUACUCAUUGAACAAGCAACAAUGUGUGCAAAACUUCAAAGAGGAAUUGUGGGAAGUUUGCAACAACAAAAGAAUUCAAAGUUGACUGAUCAAAGAAGAUAUUAUCUUCUCAUAAAGAAAAGAAAUAUUAUCAACUCUUAUGAAACAAUGUUCUCAUCAUGAACAUGUUUAUUUUCCUCAAGAGCAUUCAUAUCAGUUCAGCACAAUUACAAGAAUCAACUUUGAAGAAGAAAUCAUUUCAAAGGUUGAAUUAUAAGUUAGUAGAACGUUCUCAGAACGGUAUCCCAAGUUUGCGUGUUCAAGGAUAAUCACUUUUCAUAAGUCAACUUGGUACAAGACAAUAAUGAACUUUUAUAUGACAGUUAUUCCAAGGAUCAUAGCAGUGGAAUAAAUCAUAUAAGGCAACGAAUGAAUUAUGACUAGAGAACAUUCUCUUGUUGUCAUAUUCAAGGAGUUACAUGAACAUAUCUCUUGCCAAUGUUUAUGAUUCCCUCAUGGACAACUGGUGCUGUUAUUUAGACCAAUGAAAAUGCAGCAACAAAGAGUACAUACAACUUGCAAGGAAGCUUCACAUCUGAUCCAAGUACAAGAGUAUGACAAGGGUGGCUACAUUCUUCCAUAAAAGAAUAAUUCAUUUACUAUUCAUGUGUCCUUUGAAGGACAAGUGAACAGUUGCUACUCUAUGCCUUUGUUGAGUGUUUACAGCUGUUUGACAACUUGCAACAACUUGCAACAACUCAUUAAUUCAUUGGACCUUAUCCACACCACUUCAGAGAAUGGUCUCCAACAUCCUGGAGAAUGAUCUCCCAGGUUUUUGCACGUAUGUGGCAAUCUUAUCCAAAAGCAUUUCAAUCUGAUUUCCACACAUGGGGAAUAUGUUUGCAACAAAUAUAUACUCAGAAACAACUCAUUGACAGUUGGCUAAAGAAUAUUUCUGCCAUCAAGUACAAUGUGACAGUCAGAGACCAUCGGAAGAAUGAUCUCCUGAAGCAUUUAAAGGACAGAUUCACAUGGACUGUUUUGUUUCUCUCACAACAACUAUUUCUAUACUCUCAACGGUUAUAAUUGAUGUUCAAACUACAGAGGGACAUCUCCAUCUAUAAAUAGCAUGGUUGGUUGCACAAGNNNNNNNNNNNNNNNNNNNNNNNNNNNNNNNNNNNNNNNNNNNNNNNNNNNNNNNNNNNNNNNNNNNNNNNNNNNNNNNNNNNNNNNNNNNNNNNNNNNNNNNNNNNNNNNNNNNNNNNNNNNNNNNNNNNNNNNNNNNNNNNNNNNNNNNNNNNNNNNNNNNNNNNNNNNNNNUCAGCUUGUGAUAGCUGGGUACUUUGUGAUCUUGGUUUUAGAUCAUAAAGGGUCUUUGAUCUGGGCUUAGAUCAAAGGGAAGAAUUGUAAUCUGGAUGUAGAUUAUAGUGGAAAACUCACAGGCGUGGGGAUUGGACUAGCCCAGGAUUCGGGAGAACCAGUAUAACUUUUGUGUGUGAAUCUCUCUUACCUUUAACUAUUUAUUUUCUGUAAACACGCAUCACACAAACCACUUAAUUUACUUUCACUUUGAAUUCUAACACAGCAGAGAACAUUCUCCGAACACAUUAGAGAACAUUCUCCAAGCUGUUUUAUAUUUUACUAACAUUUAUCCAAGUAUCCACUUGAGAUCAAUUUUGUAGAGUGCAAGAUUAAAUUUUUAAAAGAGUCACAAUUCAAACCCCCCCUUUCUUGUGACUAUUUCUUCCACUUCACUAAUAUAGUUCUCUGAUCCUGAUAGUCAGUCCAUAACAUAAUUUUAUAACGUAAUUCAUAACAUAACAUGACAUAAUAUCAUAAAGGUGUAUCACAAAUUAUUAUCUUGUUCAUUUUAUUCAUAACAAAGACACUCUGAGGUGAGCUGGUCUCAGAGGCCUGACAUAUCCGUCUGCGAUAAUAAUAUACAUCGACACAGCUGAAGCUCACAAUCAUAACAUAAUUGGAUUAUACUGAAUCCCAUAACGUGGUACAAAAGUAACCACCAUGAUUGACUGACUUUCAUAACUUAACUUGCAAUCCUGAUUGUUAUCCUGCCCAUGAAUUCCCUUCCAAGGUAUUUCUAAAUUGUCCUGAUUCCUGAUACGUAAUUUCCUGAAGUGUGUUUGACGCUAUAAACGUAGUAUAUUAGUAUAUUGUCUAUGGAAAAGUUCCAGAAUAAAUAAGGGUUUAAAACGAGUGGCUAAGUUUGAAAAGUAGUAAUUAUGCAGUGUACUGUCCUGCUAUGCUCGCCUAGCGAAGUUAAUUCUCGUUUAGCGAAUACACCAGUUAAGUACUCUGUUUCGCAUUUUCUAUGUAAAUUCAUUAAAUUGCCACCUACAAUAACAAACCAUAUUCAUCCGGUCAUAGUCAUUAACCAAUAUCCAUCAUUUAUAGUAGAGGUGGACUUGGGGAUUUAAUCCACCUCACACACACAUUAUAGUCCUAAAAUNNNNNNNNNNNNNNNNNNNNNNNNNNNNNNNNNNNNNNNNNNNNNNNNNAUAUCUUAACUUACCUUCUAAACUAAUGUUGUCAUACAUAUUCUUGAUUUGGGGAAACUAUGGUACUAAACUAACUAGAGUUUAAGGCUCUAAGGGAACCCACCUGAAAUUAGAUGAACAAUUUCUUGAAUGAGUUUCAACUCUAAGCUUUGUUCCUUAUUCUUUAACUCCAAUUACUACAUCCAUUACUUGGUAAAAGGCUCAUAUGCAUAGACUGGAUGUGAAUCAGCAGGGAGUAACCACAACAACAUCCAGUAGCAGAACAUAACUGCUAUCCUCGCUUCUCGCUCGGCGAGACUCCACGAGCAGUCCAGAUUUUCCUGCACAAUUAAGCUACAGACCCUCCACUUUAAAAUCGUCCCCUGACCUUGAUAUUAAGCUAAAACCUACGAAGUUGGUACACAAAUCGAAAGGAAUUUCGUUAGCUUUCCAUAGCAACAAGCGGAUCUUAAAUCAGAGUUACAAAGAAGGAGCAGUUACCGGUUUAGGGAAGACAUGUCCAAAACACGAAUUUCCCUAGACUUAAUCCAAAAUUCCAACUUGAUUCCAUUCUAAAUUCUAAUUACAACUCACAUCUUUCUUCAAGCCUCAACCCCUUCUAAAUCAUUCAAGCUUCUAUCUUCCAACUUCAAGCUUUUCCAACCAACACCCAUUUAUUGACAUAAAUUAAAUGCAUGUACCAAACAUAGCAAAUUAGAAUUUGGGGUUAAGGAUUAUAAUUUUGGUCAUAGCAAGAAAAAGGAAGAAUAGAGUAGCUUACUAUUUCUCACCUUGAGUUUCCACCAUCCAUACCCUAUUAAUUGUGAAAAUCAACACAUGCAGCUAAGAAUUGAAAGUGGAAAUGGAAGCUCGGAGUGAGAGAGAUUCUGGCGUGAGAACAAGAGAGAGUUUGAGGGAAGUUUGUUGCUUUUCCUACUUUGUGAAGUUUAAGAAGAUGAAUGAGUUGUUGUUGUUGUCUUGCGUGUGAGAGAAAGAAGAGGUUUGCUGAGUAGUUGUCCUAACCUUGUGAAAGAGGGAAGUGUAUGAGUGGGUUUGAAUCUUGACUUAUGGUUUAAUGAGCGUGAGAGAGAGAGAGAGGGAGAUACAAGAAAAGUCAUUUUCUU
Molecule: long non-coding RNA, 8617 nt
Filed under: Trifolium pratense (red clover)
Lineage: Eukaryota; Viridiplantae; Streptophyta; Magnoliopsida; Fabales; Fabaceae
Description: long non-coding RNA (TPRA_LNC003603)
Source: RNAcentral